Pogoniulus pusillus (Red-fronted tinkerbird) is the source of this 704-nucleotide long non-coding RNA. RefSeq lists it as uncharacterized. The transcript is spliced from 2 exons. The record is from RefSeq and is a predicted model, not a curated record. Lineage: Eukaryota; Metazoa; Chordata; Aves; Piciformes; Lybiidae.
CCCAGCCCCAAGCUGGGCCCAUUGCGGGCCAAGGGAUCCUCUGCCUGGCAUCCCAGGUGAGUGCCCACGGGUGAGCACCGGGUGCAUGGUGGAGGGUUUCAAAGGCCGGGGGGCCUCGCUGGCCCCCCGGCUAGCUAGGGCCAUGUUAGGGCUACUGACCGACUGCAACAUCCAACCUUAGCUCACGGGUGCUAAGUCUGUGUUGUUAUUGAGGCUGAGCUUUGUCUAGGAGAUUGCCUGCUUGAAGGUCUUGCCACAGGUUCUGCUGGGGGUGAGAAGAUGGAGAUGAAGAUGGAGACGAAGAUGGAGACGAAGAUGGAGGUGGAGGUAGUGGUAAUGGUGGAGCAGGAGCUGGCUGCAGCAAACAGCAGAGCCUGAACUCCAGAGGCACCAUGAAGUCCACCCAAGAAGAGUAGAGCAGCAGCAGCACUGCAGCCCAGCGGGACCUGCUUGGUGUCAUUGUCCAGGAGCCAACCUGGUUUUGUCCCAGCAUUUUCUGGGUUAAAGCCUGGUGUCAAACCAGAGAAGGUGUUGAAGCAAAGCCUGGCUGAGGCACUUAGUGCCAUGGUCUGGUUGGCUGGACAGGGCUGGGUGCUAGGUUGGGCUGGCUGAGCUUGGAGGUCUCUUCCAACCUGGUUGAUUCUAUGAGUCUAGGGAACUAUUCCUGAUUCCACACGGUUGGUGCUGGGUUGAGCAGCAUUCCA